Molecule: long non-coding RNA, 143 nt
Organism: Thalassophryne amazonica
Lineage: Eukaryota; Metazoa; Chordata; Actinopteri; Batrachoidiformes; Batrachoididae
Exons: 3
Source: RefSeq, a predicted model, not a curated record
AUCUAUGUGUGUGUAACAAAUGAAGCUCGGAUGAGGGUAGGGUCGCUCUUUUCAAAAUGAUUUUUUUUAAGAUCUUCUGAAGAAGCUUCUCAAGUAUUAACAUUUGUCAGCUCCAGGAAGAAACCAAAAAAAAAAAGCAGCAA